AUUUAACCUUGAGAUAACAUCUUAAUAUUUCAAACAUAACACAGGUAAUGAAGCAUCCCAAAAGAUGUUUAGAUGUAGAGCUUAGUGAUAUGGUUUAGUGGAGGACUUGUUAGUGUUAGGUUGGACUCAGUGAUCUUGGAGGUCUCUUCCAACCUAGAUGAUUCUGUGAUUCUUGCUUCUAACUGUCAAAGCUCCAUCCACGGAAUGGAUAGAACCAUGUAGUGGCCUUGCUACAUUAUGUAUGUCAAGAAAAUAUUAACUACAAUGCAAGAACCCUGACCCGUGGCAAAAAGCUGUAAAAAGUGAAGGUAAGCCCUUAGAAACUAUUAUACACGUACAAAUUAAUUCAAACUGUGAGGGAGAAGUACCGUACAUCUUUUGAUAUUUGCAAGACUGUUCGUCAUAUCAAGUUUCUUGUUGUGACCACUUCACUAAACUUGCUUUCUGAAUAAGAAAUUUUAAAUAAAUAAAUAAAUAAACAAAUAAAUAAAAGCACAACUUUCUUGCAAAGGCCCUCUCCUGGUUCCAUGCACCAAAUCCUGCUGAUGUGGGACAUUUAAAACUUCCUAUUAAGAUGCACUCAGUUCCAUUCUGGAGAAAUUCUUGAUGACGGGAAAGAAUGAAAGCUCUCAGAGCCUCUUGAGGUAUUUCCUGAAGAUUUGAUGACCUGCAACUCACAGGCAUCUUUAAAAAAGGUUAAAGACUGUUAUGACAGACAGCUGCAAAAAGCAAAUAUAAGAAAACAAACGAACAAACUAAACCAACAACGUGACCCUGUGCAACAAACUAAACCCACGAAGUGACGACGCCUCAAACCCCGACCUCCCCCCCGCCCUGCUCAGCACAAGAUGGAGGCCGCACCUCCGUGCUGCACCGUGCCGAUUGGUUGGGCGCCUCCAAGGCACUGCUGCCAAUCAACCGUAAGCCCCGCCCCUCCCAGGAGCGUGUAUAUGUGUGUGAGGAAGUAGGUGCGCCGCCAUUUUGCCGGCGUGGGACGGGUGGUGGCGGCGGUGUAUUGCUCGUCGGUCCGGCGUUGAGGUGGUGGGAAAUGGUCGUGCACUGGUGGUUAUGGCUCUCCCACGUCCCUUUCACGCUUAGAGGUGCAGAGCUGCUAUUAUAA
RNAcentral lists this long non-coding RNA (1120 nucleotides) under Anser brachyrhynchus (Pink-footed goose). RNAcentral's name for it is "lncRNA (ENSABRG00000001827.1)". The record is from RNAcentral. Lineage: Eukaryota; Metazoa; Chordata; Aves; Anseriformes; Anatidae.